UGCUAAACCGCUUUGUGAGGUCUCCUGGAGUUUGUGCAAUCCACUACUGCCUGCCUGGAAGAGUAUCUGCUAAAAUAAGAGUUUUAUGUGUUCCAUUGCCUUUUGCUACGUAACAAACAAUUCUGUGGACAGAUUGCAUUUUCUAAAGAUGAUCGUGACAAAUAACUCCCAUCUCACAUGCCCUUCUAGAAACUUGCCAUUCCCCUAUCAGGUUUCAACUCAGAGGGUGGAACCAAGAGCUACAGAGAACAACUCACAGAGAGUAAACUGAGCACCAAUGGAAGAAUUGGCAACAUGUUCUCAGCUGGAUUUCAGAAUGGCUAGGGGCCAGUGACUGUCGUGUGCCUCCCAUAUUCCCCAUUUUUGAACAGGAAUAUCUUUCACAGAUCUUCAGAUUGAGAAGAAAGAUACUCAAGGAGCUAUACCCAAGGGAUUAUACCUAAGGAACUUCAUCUGCACCUGGACCUGAUAUAAAUGAUACAAUCUUAGACUUUGAGCCUGAGCAUGAUGCUGUAAUGGAAUGAGACUUUGGGCGGGGGUGGGCUUUAAAGGAGGGAUGACCAUAUUUUACACGUGGGAGGAAUGUGAACCAUUGUGGCUAGAAGGCAGAUUUUCCAAAGGUGGUUACAAUGUUUCCCAUUCCACCUGUUCUUCUAGAAUCUUUCCACUCUCCUUUUGAGAGGUGGACUCCAUGUUCUCCUUGAACUUGGUGGGUCUUUGUGAUUGCCUUGACCAGUAGUGUACAGCAAGAGUGAUGCUAUGUAGCUUCCAAGACUAGGUCAAAAACAUGCCAUACAAUUCAACUUUGCUAUGUUGGGAUGCUCACUCUUGGAACCCAGCCCAAUUAGCCAUUGUAAAGGCCCACAUGGAGAGAACUGAGACCCUGUGAACCAUAGCCCUGCCUGAGAUCUUAGCUGACAGCCAAUACCAACUUGCCUGCCACGUGAGUGAGAAAAAUUAAUGGUUAAUGUUUUUUUUUAAAUAAAUUUAUUUAUUUUUGGCUGCAUUGGGUCUUCUUUGCUGUGCGCGGGCUUUUCUCUAGUUGCAGAGAGCAGGGGCUACUCUUUGUUGUGGUGCGCAGGCUUCUCAAUGUGGUGGCUUCUCUUCUUGUGGAGCACGGGCUCUAGGCGCAGGUUUCAGUAGUUGUGGCACGCGGGCUCUAGAGCGCAGGCUCAGUAGUUUUGGCGCACGGGCUUAGUUGCUCCGCAGCAUGUGCGAUUUUCACGGACCAGGGCUUGAACCCGUGUCCCCUGCAUUGGCAGGUGGAUUCUUAACCACUGUGCCACCAGGGAAGUCCGAGAAUGGUUAAUGUUUUAAGCCUCUGUGUUUUGGGGUGGUUUGUUACAAAGCAAUAGAUAACUGAAAUGCCCCCCAAAACACAGUCACAUAAAAAAAUAUUUUGUUCACAGAUCCACAAUUUGGACAGUGCUUGACUGGGACAACUCUUCUCUGUUUCAGGAUAUCUAAAGCCUUCACUGGGAAGAUUCACACGGCUGGGGGCUAGAAUCAUCUUGAGGUUUUUUCAGUCACAUCCCUGUACUUGGACUGAGGUGACUCAAAGGUUGAGCUCAUUUGGGACUGUUACAGGAAGAGCUUACAGUUGGCCUCUCCGUGUAUUUGGGGCUUCCUCACAGCAUCACAGCCUCAAAGUUGUAAAACUUCUUAGGGUGGCUCAGGGCUCCAAGAGCAGGUGUUCCCAGCAAACAAGGUGGGAUCACCUUUAUGGCCUUUACGACCUACCUUCUGAAAUCAUAAAGCAUCAAUUCUGCUGUACUCUACUAACUGAGGCAGUCAGAAACCCAUCCAGAUUUGAGGGGAGGGGACAUAGAUCUCCCACCUCUUGGUGGCAGAAGUGUCAAAGAAUUUAUGUUAUAAAUUCUAUGUUAUAAAACUGCCACAAACAAUUUUUCUGUUAAUGUGUUAAAUAUGGUUAACUUGCUUGAGGUUUAUGGUUGUUAUGAACUGAAUGUGUCCCCUCAAAACUCAUGUUGGGCUUCCCUGGUGGCGCAGUGGUUGAGAGUCUGCCUGCCAGUGCAGGGGAUACGGGUUCGGGCCCUGGUCUGGGAGGAUCCCACAUGCCGCGGAGCGACUGGGCCCGUGAGCCACAAUUACUGAGCCUGCGCGUCUGGAGCCUGUGCUCCGCAACGAGAGAGGCCGCGAUGGUGAGAGGCCCGCGCACCGCGAUGAGGAGUGGCCCCCGCUUGCCACAACUGGAGAAAGCCCUCGCACGGAAACGAAGACCCAACACAGCCAUAAAUAAAUAAAUAAAUAAAGAAAGAAAGAAAGGCAAGUAACUUUAUUAAAAAAACAAAAAACAAAAAAACUCGUAUGUUGAAAUCCGAAACCCCAAUGUGAUGGUAUUUGAAGGUAGAACCUUUGGGAGGUUGUUAGGUUUAAAUGAAAUCAUGAGAGUGAAGCCCCCAUGAUGGGAUUAGUAUCCUUAUGAAAUGAGGAAGAGAAACUGGAGCUCCCUCUCUCUCCCUGCCACGUAAGGACACAGGAAGAAGGCAGCCAUCUAUAAGCCAGGAAGAGGCCCCACCAGGAACUGACUCUGCCAGAACCUUGAUCUUGGACUUCCUAGCCUCCAGAACUGUGAGAAAUAAAUGUCUGUUGUUUAA
Long non-coding RNA from Balaenoptera acutorostrata (minke whale), 2618 nucleotides. RefSeq lists it as uncharacterized. NCBI's taxonomy places the organism in Eukaryota, Metazoa, Chordata, Mammalia, Artiodactyla, Balaenopteridae. The record is from RefSeq and is a predicted model, not a curated record. The transcript is spliced from 4 exons.